RNAcentral lists this long non-coding RNA (265 nucleotides) under Fukomys damarensis (Damara mole-rat). RNAcentral describes it as "lncRNA (ENSFDAG00000029314.1)". The record is from RNAcentral. Lineage: Eukaryota; Metazoa; Chordata; Mammalia; Rodentia; Bathyergidae.
CAGGCUUGAGUGUUCUUUCCUUUCUCAAUCCUCACUCCCCAACUCAGUCAUGUUCAUGUUGUGACAGCUGGAAUGCCACAAGUGGUACCUGAACAGGGACCUGAGUACUGAGGGACCCAGUGAAAGACACCGCUGGAUAAAGAAUAAAAGGAGAUCUCGACAAAAAGAAAAAAAGAGGACCUUCAAAAGGAAGGCAAAAGAGGAACGCCCUAUAUUAAUGAACCUCACCAGAGGACCCACAGAGUAUGUUAACCAGGCCUGGGAG